GGGCCCGUAGCUCAGCUGGCUAGAGCGCCUGGCUGGCAGUCAGGAGGUCAGGGGUUCGAUCCCCCUCGGGUCCA
RNAcentral lists this transfer RNA (74 nucleotides) under Pseudomonadota bacterium. RNAcentral describes it as "tRNA-Ala". It matches the Rfam family "tRNA". From Rfam's summary of the family: Transfer RNA (tRNA) molecules are approximately 80 nucleotides in length. Their secondary structure includes four short double-helical elements and three loops (D, anti-codon, and T loops). The record is from RNAcentral. Lineage: Bacteria; Pseudomonadati; Pseudomonadota. RNAcentral also lists the same sequence under 1 other name.